UACAGAGGUCCCAAGCGUUGUUCGGAUUCACUGGGCGUAAAGGGUGCGUAGGUGGUUAGGUAAGUCCGAUGUGAAAUCUCCAGGCUCAACCUGGAAAUGGCAUUGGAUACUAUCUAGCUUGAGGAGUGGAGGGGGGGACUGGAAUUCUCGGUGUAGCAGUGAAAUGCGUAGAUAUCGAGAGGAACACCAGUGGCGAAGGCGAGUCCCUGGACACUUCCUGACACUGAGGCACGAAAGCUAGGGGAGCAAACAGG
Molecule: ribosomal RNA, 254 nt
Filed under: uncultured bacterium
Lineage: Bacteria
Description: partial 16S ribosomal RNA
Rfam family: Bacterial small subunit ribosomal RNA
Source: RNAcentral